AUCUAGCUGACGAGUCCUAAAUAGGACGAAACGCCCUUUGUCCUGUAU
This 48-nucleotide non-coding RNA is filed under the name Schistosoma curassoni. The record is from RNAcentral. Lineage: Eukaryota; Metazoa; Platyhelminthes; Trematoda; Strigeidida; Schistosomatidae.